CAGUCAUACCGGCGGAUAUCAGCCUUUUCGGGUGCGAUUCUGUGGGGCGUGGAGGAGCUUAACACCUUCAUGCUUUUGCAUAUUCGUGCUCUUGGGUGUACUUGCCCGUGUGGUUGGUUAACAUCAAUUUCGGUC
Molecule: ribosomal RNA, 135 nt
Filed under: Rhizophagus irregularis
Lineage: Eukaryota; Fungi; Glomeromycota; Glomeromycetes; Glomerales; Glomeraceae
Source: RNAcentral